Molecule: ribosomal RNA, 252 nt
Filed under: uncultured bacterium
Lineage: Bacteria
Description: partial 16S ribosomal RNA
Rfam family: Bacterial small subunit ribosomal RNA
Source: RNAcentral
UACGGAGGAUGCGAGCGUUAUCCGGAUUUAUUGGGUUUAAAGGGUGCGUAGGCGGACGCUUAAGUCAGCGGUAAAAUUGCGGGGCUCAACCUAGUCGAGCCGUUGAAACUGGGUGCCUUGAGUGGGCGAGAAGUACGCGGAAUGCGUGGUGUAGCGGUGAAAUGCAUAGAUAUCACGCAGAACUCCGAUUGCGAAGGCAGCGUACCGGCGCCCUACUGACGCUGAAGCACGAAGGCGUGGGUAUCGAACAGG